Saccostrea echinata is the source of this 453-nucleotide long non-coding RNA. RefSeq lists it as uncharacterized. The transcript is spliced from 3 exons. NCBI's taxonomy places the organism in Eukaryota, Metazoa, Mollusca, Bivalvia, Ostreida, Ostreidae. The record is from RefSeq and is a predicted model, not a curated record.
GAAGUCAUGGAGUAUUUGACAGCUUGAUAUAGUUGCAUCAGACAGAUAAAUAUUUAACUGUUAAUUUUAAGUAUUUGUAGUUCAUAAUCGCGUAUUACAACUACGGAUUACAGAACUUUGUCAAUGACCUAAACCAUGUAAACGGACAUAAACAGGAAUGAAUGAACAGAUCAGGUUUGAAGUAACCUUUGAUGGGGUCUUAUAGAGACAGCUGGCACAGGUUGGAAUUAUGACAUAAUACAGAUUAUGGAUCAUUAAUUGGAAAUAAAUCAGAAAAAGUACUUCAGUUCUUGCUUAGAAGAUCAGUGCCAUCUAUUAUAGUAAAGACCAUUGUAUUCCAGCUCAUGAAUGUUCAAGAAAGUUGAAAGAUCGAGCAAAGGUGUGGAACCAGAUAUGCUAAUACCAGUGGCCCAGGAUUUGGAGGAGACUGGUUACCCAAUAAAUGUUAUCCAU